UACGUAGGGUGCGAGCGUUAAUCGGAAUUACUGGGCGUAAAGCGUGCGCAGGCGGUUCGUUAAGUUCGAUGUGAAAGCCCCGGGCUCAACCUGGGAACUGCAUUGGAAACUGGCGAGCUUGAAUGCGGCAGAGGGGGGUGGAAUUCCGCGUGUAGCAGUGAAAUGCGUAGAGAUGCGGAGGAACACCGAUGGCGAAGGCGGCUUCCUGGACCGAUACUGACGCUGAGGCGCGAAAGCUAGGGGAGCAAACGGG
Molecule: ribosomal RNA, 253 nt
Filed under: uncultured bacterium
Lineage: Bacteria
Description: partial 16S ribosomal RNA
Rfam family: Bacterial small subunit ribosomal RNA
Source: RNAcentral